RNAcentral lists this unclassified non-coding RNA (1720 nucleotides) under Aplysia californica (California sea hare). RNAcentral describes it as "uncharacterized LOC101863238, transcript variant X3". The record is from RNAcentral. Lineage: Eukaryota; Metazoa; Mollusca; Gastropoda; Aplysiida; Aplysiidae.
GUAGUUUCCCUUGCACAAAUGAAUAGAGCAAGGAGGAAGUAAAAGCACGGUCUUUGGUAAAAGCACAGAAUUAGGCUUCUUGUCUCGGGGCUUUUGGCUCCUACAAACUUCAAUACUCGCGUUACCUCAAAGAUAGAUUAGAGCGAGAAAGAACAGAGGCCCCGGCACAGAACGAAACAGUGUGGGUUACAAAGCGAUACGCUCCUACGGAUGAACGAGUGAUUGCUCCUGUUCCAAGGCACAAACAUGUGGUACCCACCCGGGCCAGCUAUCUGCGUACAGGAGAUAUUCACUGGAUCCCCGUCUCUGAUCCUCCUCUCUCAAGUUUCAAUAGACCGUCUGGACCUCCAAUGAAUGUUGUUUAUGUAUCUCAUCCAGCCACAAGAUCUGAAGAAUGGUCUACCCUGAGACAGAUGCUGCCUUCAUAUGGCAAUGUGUGGAGAGUGGACCAGCCCAACUGGGGCACCGCCUCAGGACCUCCCCCAACACCUCUCCCACGGUUAACUGGUCGCCUACCUCACGUCAACAGCUGCAUGACAAAGUACGUUGAUGACAUGCACAAGACACACAGACAGUUCAAGCAUUGCUGAGAGGUGGCAGUUGUUGUCCUUUGUGACCCUGUCUUUGCAGUGACUCAAGUGCGGUCAGAAUGAUCAGUUGCUUCUGUAGCUUGGCCUUAAGUCAUUUUCACGUACACAGCAUUUGUAUUUGCCUUUUGACACCUUUAUACAUUUUUAACGUCACUUGUGCCUCCAUUACUUUUUAAAGAAUUGCUGCUGGGAGGAAAAAUGUCAGUAAAAAUCCUUUCAAACACUGAAAGUUGUCAGGGUUUCUACUAAAUGAUGAGAAAUUAUAGCCGACAUUUGUCUCAGAUCAAGCAUGUACAGAUGGCCAGUUAGCUCUAUCAUAAAUUGUGACAAAACGAAAACACCCAUUUUGAGGAAUUCCAUCUCCUCACUUCCUGUCCAUCUCAAAGAUCAUAAGAACAUCUACCAAUGAAAGGAUGCCUGUGGUCAAUAGUUGUUUUGUUUUUUUCCUCUUUUGUUUUAAGCUAUGAAUAAGACACUGAUUUCCUUGUGACCGUAAGGAAAAUGGACUUUAAAAAAUCAACCCUGUUGUUGUUUAUUAGCAUUAUAAUGUAGAAUGAGAUUAUUUUGCACUGUUGAUUGUGUUGACUCUACACUUGGUAUCUAUUCACUUUGGAUGCCGUUGUUAUGAACAGUAUCGGAAACCUUUUAAAUACGGUAACUUAAAUGUUCAUUGUCAGUAUUAAUUUGAUGCUGUUGCUUGCCUUUUGUCAUUUAUCAAAAUUUGGAAGUUACUCACCGAAAGGAGAUUGAAAAAUUGUGAAUUUCUGUGUAAUUCAGUGCCUCACUCAGAGCUUUUCCAGAUAAACGGUAUUGAUUAGAUUGAUGUCCAUUCGAGCAACAGGACAUUUCCAAACUUUGUACAUAUUUGACAAGCCUUGUAGUUGUCAGCAUUCCAAUACUAUAUUGCUAACAGAGUAUUUGACAUCUUUUUGUAAUUGUCUCAGAACCCCUUUAGGGUCGUCUUUCAUAUAUAUAUAUAUUGCUCUGUAUACACUAAACAGUAUUACGUGCAUGGACAAGUUGAAUCUUUAGAUGGAAGAGUAGUCUUUUCUAUGUCACAUCAGAUGACUUUUUUUCUACAAUUUUAGUACGUCUUCAAACAUGUUAAUAAAACUUGGAAUAGAAUGUGA